This 144-nucleotide unclassified non-coding RNA is filed under the name fungal sp. RNAcentral describes it as "partial internal transcribed spacer region". The stretch from base 1 to 46 matches the Rfam family "Eukaryotic small subunit ribosomal RNA", at positions 1786 to 1831 of the family's 1831-position model. Lineage: Eukaryota; Fungi. The record is from RNAcentral.
AAGUCGUAACAAGGUUUCCGUAGGUGAACCUGCGGAAGGAUCAUUGGAGGAAGUUGGGAGGAGAGUGUGUUGGAAUGUGAUGUUGAUAUGAGUGACAAAUCAUUUUAUACGAUAUAACUAGCCACCUGGGAUCUCUGGGCUCUU